AAGGCCUUCGGGUUGUAAAGCCCUUUUGUACGGGAAGAAAAGCAGCUGGUUAAUAACUGGUUGUGCUGACGGUACCGUAAGAAUAAGCACCGGCUAACUUCGUGC
This 105-nucleotide ribosomal RNA is filed under the name uncultured bacterium. Its description in RNAcentral is "partial 16S ribosomal RNA". It matches the Rfam family "Bacterial small subunit ribosomal RNA", at positions 411 to 508 of the family's 1533-position model. The record is from RNAcentral.